This 1334-nucleotide ribosomal RNA is filed under the name Chamaepsila testudinaria. RNAcentral's name for it is "16S ribosomal RNA". The record is from RNAcentral. Lineage: Eukaryota; Metazoa; Arthropoda; Insecta; Diptera; Psilidae.
UUUAUAUUUUAUUUAUUAAUUUUAAUUUUUAUUUAUUUAUUUUUAUUAAAAAUAAUUAUAUAAAGUAUUGUUUUAGUAGUUUAUAAUGAAAUAAUAAUAUUAAUAAUAGUUUAUUAGUAUAGUAAUAGAAUAUUGAAAUAAUUUGAAAAAUUUUUAAUUUAUAAGAAAAUUUAAUUUAUUGUACCUUGUGUAUCAGGGUUUAUUAAAUAAAAAAUAUUUAUAUUAUAUUUUUUUCGAUUUUAAAAGAGUUAAUAAAUAAUUAAAGUUAUUGUGAUAAAAUUAUUUUAAAUUAUUUAUUAGAAAUGAAAUGUUAUUCGUUUUUAAAGGUAUCUAGUUUUUUAAGAAAUAAAUUUAAUUUAGAAGUUUUAAAUUUAUUUAUUUAAUUAAUUUAAAUAAAUAAUUUAAAAUUUUAAUAUUUUAUGGGAUAAGCUAUAAAAUAAAGUAUUAAAAAUUUUUUAAGAUUUAUAAAAAUGUAUGAUUAUAAUUGUCAACCAUUUAAAGUUUGUUAUAAAUUAUUUUUAUGUUUAUAUUAUUUCUUAUAUUUUAAUUAUUUAUUAAAAUAUUUAUUUUAAUUUUAAAAAUAAAGCAAUUAUGAUAAAAUUAGUAUAUAAUAUAUUUUGUAAAAAUAUAUUUAUUUGUUAAGUUUAUAUAAAGAAUUCGGCAAAAUUAAUAUUCGCCUGUUUAACAAAAACAUGUCUUUUUGAAAUUUAUUUUAAAGUCUAAUCUGCCCAAUGAAAAUGUUUUAAUGGCCGCAGUAUUUUAACUGUGCAAAGGUAGCAUAAUCAUUAGUCUUUUAAUUGAAGGCUGGUAUGAAUGAUUGGACGAGAUAUUAACUGUUUCAUAUAAAUUUAUAUAGAAUUUUAUUUUUUAGUUAAAAAGCUAAAAUAUAUUUAAAAGACGAGAAGACCCUAUAAAUCUUUAUAUUUUUAUUUAUUUUAAUUAUAAAGAUUUUUUUAAUUAUAAUAAAUAAAAGUAUUUUAUUGGGGUGAUAUUAAAAUUUAAUAAACUUUUAAUUUUUUUAAACAUUAAUUUAUGAAUAAUUGAUCCAAUUUUAUUGAUUAUAAAUUUAAGUUACUUUAGGGAUAACAGCGUAAUUUUUUUGGAGAGUUCAUAUCGAUAAAAAAGAUUGCGACCUCGAUGUUGGAUUAAGAUAUAGUUUUAGGUGUAGCCGCUUAAAUUUUAAGUCUGUUCGACUUUUAAAUUCUUACAUGAUCUGAGUUCAAACCGGUGUAAGCCAGGUUGGUUUCUAUCUUUAAUUAAUUUAAAUAUUUUAGUACGAAAGGACCAAAUAUUAAAAUAAUUAUAUUUUAUAUAUUGAAUUUAAUUAAUUAUUU